Molecule: ribosomal RNA, 253 nt
Filed under: uncultured bacterium
Lineage: Bacteria
Description: partial 16S ribosomal RNA
Rfam family: Bacterial small subunit ribosomal RNA
Source: RNAcentral
GACGGAUGGUGCAAGCGUUGCUCGGAAUCACUGGGCGUAAAGGGUGCGUAGGCGGCUUGGUAGGUCUGGUGUGAAAGCCCCGGGCUCAGCCCGGGAAGGGCACUAGAAACUGCCAAGCUAGAGUGCCGGAGGGGAGAGUGGAAUUCCUGGUGUAGCGGUGAAAUGCGUAGAUAUCGGGAGGAACAUCAGUGGCGAAGGCGGCUGCCUGGCCCAAUACUGACACUCAGGUGCGACAGCGUGGGGAGCAAACAGG